RNAcentral lists this ribosomal RNA (332 nucleotides) under uncultured bacterium. Its description in RNAcentral is "bacterial SSU rRNA". It matches the Rfam family "Bacterial small subunit ribosomal RNA", at positions 568 to 899 of the family's 1533-position model. The record is from RNAcentral.
UGCGUAGGCGGCCCGGAAAGUUGGGUGUGAAAGCCCUCGGCUCAACCGAGGAAUUGCGCCCAAAACUACCGGGCUGGAGGGAGACAGAGGUGAGCGGAACUUAGGGUGGAGCGGUGAAAUGCGUUGAUAUCCUAAGGAACACCAGUAGCGAAAGCGGCUCACUGGGUCUCUUCUGACGCUGAGGCACGAAAGCUAGGGGAGCGAACGGGAUUAGAUACCCCGGUAGUCCUAGCCUUAAACGAUGAGCACUGGUUUGGAGGGUCCUCCAUAGCCUUCCAGACGUAGCGAAAGUGUUAAGUGCUCCGCCUGGGAGUAUGGUCGCAAGGCUAGAA